RNAcentral lists this long non-coding RNA (305 nucleotides) under Equus asinus (donkey). Its description in RNAcentral is "lncRNA (ENSEASG00005024492.1)". The record is from RNAcentral. Lineage: Eukaryota; Metazoa; Chordata; Mammalia; Perissodactyla; Equidae.
AUACAACUAUCCACACUCUUGUCAGAACAAGCACACCAGUACUGUGGCUUCUCAGGCACGGCUAAACCACCUGAGACCUUCAGGCCAAAGAUUCCAUUGACCUGGACUCUCCAGGGACAGCUUCAAGCAUUGGCCAUCCUCAAGUCUUCCUAGGUUGGCCCGUCAGGUUGCAGCCAGGAUUUUAUUAGCAUGUUUAAACCAAUAAAUCCUCAUCUUUCCUGGAGUGAGCUAAUUGUGUUCUAUAAUGAAGAGGUCUGAACUUCAUUUGUCAAAUAUACGUUUGCACGCAGCCCACCUCAUUGAAA